This 1212-nucleotide long non-coding RNA is filed under the name Anser cygnoides (Swan goose). Its description in RNAcentral is "lncRNA (ENSACDG00005010877.1)". Lineage: Eukaryota; Metazoa; Chordata; Aves; Anseriformes; Anatidae. The record is from RNAcentral.
GCUGAGGUGUGUCUGUGUCGCUAGGGUGACACCAAUGACAGGAGUGUCUCCCUCUGUGACUUCACAUCUGGUCAGUUUGGGGAGGGCAGGGCGCAUCUCCACAUCCCUCCCAUGCAUGCCAAGACAGAAAACCAGAUAGCUACAACUUUAGUUUAUGAGUCUUGACUGUUACUGAGCUCAGCUCCAUGGAAGACUGAAAAAGAAAAUGAAGCUAAUUUUAAAGAAGAGGACUGAGAGGUGGAAAAAGAAAUAUUGCUUCAGCUCUAAGAGCAAGUAUCUAAUAACAACUCAUGUCUUUGGAAGGAAUACUAACAUGAAGAGAGCUGUUCUACAAUUUGUUCUGUGUCAGAAAACAAAGAAAAAAUGUUUUAAACUGAAGUGAAGCAUCCAGCUGUUACCUUUUUUGGUUGAUUUGUUUGUUUGUUUGGUAGUUUUGCUGCUUAUUGGAUUUCAAAUAAGACUGCCAAAUUGUUAGAGUCAUAGUCAUAAAGUCACAGUCAUUGUAGCCUGCUGUAUUUCUUCAACUCUGAUUUUAGCUUGUCUGAAUUUGUUGUCUACAUUCCCAAAAUGUAAGGGUGAGGGUGAAGAAUGUGGUCCCUGUGCACAGACUUUCCAUUGCCUGGCCCAACAGAAAUAUAACAUGUCAGUUGCACUUGUGUUUUAAAUGAGUGUAUAUGUUCACUUAGAUGAAAGGAAAGUUUGAUAUUAAACAAAUGUCAGCUUGUGUAAGUGGAAAGGUUUGUUUUGUUUUAUUGAGAUUUUUUUGUCUGAAAUCUUUUAUCAAACAUUUAUCAUCAAAGAUGUGCAGGUAAUAUUUGCAGCUCUUCAAAGUAGAAUGGAAUAAUCAAGCACUUAUGCUGUACCCUGUGAAUCAUUUCUGGGGACUUUUUAUCUAGAAAAAUGUGUUAAAGUUUUGUGUUGUUCCCCCCUACCCUACCAACAGGAGAAUAGUUGUUCAGACUAUCCAAAGGAAGAGAAUUUCCUAAUCUUUAACUAGUAGUGCUCUCAAACAGCAAAGCAGAGAAGCUCAGUAAUAAUUGGAAACCAAUCCAUGGCUCUUCAAGUGUAUUUGUUUCCAUUAUGACUUGUGUUUCUGAAUUCUGGUCCUUAAUGCAUUAAGCUGCAAUAUUUUGUGUGACUGUAGAAUACAUCAAGGGCCAUUUUUUUUUUUUUUUCAUGCAGAAUAAAGCUCAGUAUUUCUCAAAUAAACCA